RNAcentral lists this transfer RNA (73 nucleotides) under Stegodyphus mimosarum. It matches the Rfam family "tRNA". From Rfam's summary of the family: Transfer RNA (tRNA) molecules are approximately 80 nucleotides in length. The record is from Rfam by way of RNAcentral. Lineage: Eukaryota; Metazoa; Arthropoda; Arachnida; Araneae; Eresidae.
GUCUUUGUGAUGUAAUGGUCAGCACACUCAGUGCGUAUUUGAGAGGUCCGAGGUUCGAAUCCCGGCAAGGGCA